GGGUAUAAAAUAUCCCCCAGCCGAAGUUCGUGAAAGGCCGACCCUCCCAGGGCUCUUCUGGCUUCCGACCUUAUGCGGCGUCUUUCUGAACUUCCCCGACUGUCCGAGCUUCCAUAAUACCAUUCAGACUUCUCCAAUAAUGAGCUCCCCUAUUCAUAUACCGGACUGCUCCAAAUGCACUCCAGACUUCAUUAUUAGUCAACUUUCUACAG
This 212-nucleotide long non-coding RNA is filed under the name Elaeis guineensis (African oil palm). RNAcentral's name for it is "long non-coding RNA (EGUI_LNC065328)". The record is from RNAcentral. Lineage: Eukaryota; Viridiplantae; Streptophyta; Magnoliopsida; Arecales; Arecaceae.